AUUGGUUUUAGUUCAAGUGGGAGUUGUUGAAAAAUAUGUCUUAAAGUCAAUCAUCUAGAUUGUAGAUGAUUGUGCUCCAUGAAUAUAUAUGAAUUAUAAAUUGAUAAAUGAUAUUUGAUAGAUUCAUCAUAAGGUAUACAUCUUUUUAAAUAGAAUUUAUGAUAAAGGAGGAUUUAUCAUGUAAUUCCUAAAUCCUGCUCGCGAUCA
RNAcentral lists this long non-coding RNA (207 nucleotides) under Elaeis guineensis (African oil palm). RNAcentral's name for it is "long non-coding RNA (EGUI_LNC059459)". The record is from RNAcentral. Lineage: Eukaryota; Viridiplantae; Streptophyta; Magnoliopsida; Arecales; Arecaceae.